GGGGAAGCUAAAGAACGUUUAUUGCAGGAACAACACUUUUGUGCGUUGAAGUCUCUGGGCAUUAUUAGGGCUAAUACUGAAGUUAACCCUAAGGAAGAAUGUCAAGCCACUAUCUUUGAGGUUGACAAGGUCAUUGAUGAAGAGAAGAUAGAGGAAGACGAGAUAACAAAGGUAUUGAAGUCUNUGGGCAUUAUUAGGGAUAAUACUGAAGUUAACCCUAAAGAAGAAUAUCAAACCACUAUCUCUAGAAAUGAUGAGGUUGUCGAGGAGGAAAAAAUAGAAGAAGAAGAGAUAGAGAUAUAUGAGGAGAAAAUAAAAGCAGAAAAGAAAGAGGAAAUAAAAACAGAAAAAGUUGUUGCUACGGAAAGGAUAGAGGAGAUAGAAACAGAAAAGUUGAAUGAGAGUAAGAAGAAUGAUGAGAAAGGAAAAGCAGUGGUUGAAAGAAAAGAGAAAAAGGAAAAAAUUGUGAAAAUAAAGAAAGAAAAGAAAAAGAAAAAGAGAAAGCUAAGGGAAGAGAAAAUUAAGAAAAAGAGGAAGAGAGGAAAGAAGAAAAGGUCAUAUGAAAAACCCCUUCCUCAUAAAAAGAAAAAUCAUGGGAAGGAAAAUAGGUUCAAGUACUUCAUGGAUAUCUUCAAGAAAUUGGAGAUCAAAGUUCCUAUGAUGGAGACAUGGAAACAGGUGUUUGGUGUUAUCAACUUUCUGAAGAGAUUUAGCAGGAAGAAGAAAAACAAAAGAACAUCAAGCAAAGGGGAGUAUCAACAAAUAAUGAUGGGUGUUUGAACUCCACCGGGUCAAGCUAGUGACGUUAAAGAAGCGCUAUUGGGAGGCAACCGAGGUUUUAUUUCUUUCUUUUACUUUUGCAUUUUAAAUUCCUAGAAUAGGUUGAAUUUUAAUUUCAGUGUGUAUGCUUGGCCUAAAUACUUUUCUGAAGAUGUUUGACUGACUGAUGUACAUGAUGAGACUAUUUGAUGAUGAUUUGAUGUGAUUGAUAAUUGAGUUGCAUUGCAUGUUGAUAUUCUAUGAAACAGAUGUGUGAUGAAUUAUGAUUGUGAUUAUGAUGCUAAGCAGGAUGUAUGAAUGAAUCUUGUGUGAGAAAGCAUGUUGUGUGAGGUAUUGAGCUCUAGAGUUUUCAUUGUUGUAUAUAUUGUUCACUGGAAAGCAUGAAUGAUAUUGCCUUAAUCUGAAUGAUUGAUUGAAUUGCAUGUGAAUGUCAUAUGAUCAAGGCCAUUUUUGAAGACUUUUCUCU
Molecule: long non-coding RNA, 1246 nt
Filed under: Vigna radiata
Lineage: Eukaryota; Viridiplantae; Streptophyta; Magnoliopsida; Fabales; Fabaceae
Description: long non-coding RNA (VRAD_LNC003484)
Source: RNAcentral